GGAAAGGUAGUUUAAUUUAAGAACGUCGGUUUCAUAAUCCGAAAGUAGCAGUGGUUUCUUUCUA
RNAcentral lists this transfer RNA (64 nucleotides) under Nanostrea pinnicola. Its description in RNAcentral is "tRNA-Met". It matches the Rfam family "tRNA". From Rfam's summary of the family: Transfer RNA (tRNA) molecules are approximately 80 nucleotides in length. Their secondary structure includes four short double-helical elements and three loops (D, anti-codon, and T loops). The record is from RNAcentral. Lineage: Eukaryota; Metazoa; Mollusca; Bivalvia; Ostreida; Ostreidae.